UGCCACAGCCGGGGUAACGCGUAAGGUGCGAGGGUUGUUCGGAAUUAUUGGGCGUAAAGGGCUCGUAGGCGGGCUGCCAAGUCCCACGUGAAAGACCAGGGCUCAACCCUGGGAACGCGAGGGAAACUGGUAAGCUGGAAUCUUGGAGGGGGUACUGGAAUUCCUAGUGUAGGGGUGAAAUCUGUUGAUAUUAGGAAGAACACCGGAGGCGAAGGCGAGUACCUGGCCAAAGAUUGACGCUGAUGAGCGAAAGCGUGGGGAGCGAACAGGAUUAGAUA
Molecule: ribosomal RNA, 278 nt
Filed under: uncultured bacterium
Lineage: Bacteria
Description: partial 16S ribosomal RNA
Rfam family: Bacterial small subunit ribosomal RNA
Source: RNAcentral